This 856-nucleotide ribosomal RNA is filed under the name Lepraria caesioalba. RNAcentral describes it as "mitochondrial SSU rRNA". It matches the Rfam family "Bacterial small subunit ribosomal RNA", at positions 378 to 1281 of the family's 1533-position model. The record is from RNAcentral. Lineage: Eukaryota; Fungi; Ascomycota; Lecanoromycetes; Lecanorales; Stereocaulaceae.
AUAGCUGAUUGCACCAACAAAUAGUUGAUGCAAUAUUGACUCUGUCAAAUAAAAUUCUAGGUAGAAUUAUGAUAAUGACAUUGUCUGCCUAUAUGUCUUGACCAAAUUACGUGCCAGCAGUCGCGGUAAUACGUAGAAGACUAGUGUUAUUCAUCUUUAAUAGGUUUAAAGGGUACCUAGACGGUAAAUCAAGCCUUCACAGGGACUAAUUUACUAGAGUUACUUACGAGGGGGUAUUAAAGUACUGCAGGUGUAGAGAUGAAAUUCUGUCAUACCUCUUUUCAAAAGAAAAAUUAUGGCACAGGUAUAGGUGAAAGCAUCCCCUUAUGUGAUAACUGACGUUGAAGGACGAAGGCUUUGUGUCGCGAACAGGAUUAGAUACCCCNGUAGUCAAAGCAGAAAAUGAUGAAUGUCAUAGAUUAGAUAAAUAGUUUAUUCUAUAAAUGAAAAUGUAAGCAUUCCACCUCAAGAGUAAUUUGGCAACAUUGGAACUGAAAUCAUUAGACCGUUUCUGAAACCAGUAGUGAAGUAUGUUGUUUAAUUUGAUGAUCCGCAAAAAACCUUACCACAAUUUGAAUAUUUAUAUCUAUCUUUUUUUUUCGUAAAAAAAUAAAAAGGUAAUAUAUUUACAAGCGUUGCACGGCUGUCUUCAGUUAAUGUCGCGAGACUUUGGUUAGUUCCAUUAAAUUAACGUAAACCCUUACUUUAUUUUUAUAUGAAGUAGUUCCCCGCUAUAUUGGAUAUGAUAACAGGGACUAAGACAAGUCAUCAUGGCCUGAAUGUUGUGGGCUAUAGACGUGCCACAUAAACCUUACAAAAGGGUGUGAAAUUGCGAAAUUGAGCUAAUCCCCCAAAA